UGUUGACCUUUGCCCUCAGGAUGUGAG
This 27-nucleotide non-coding RNA is filed under the name Mus musculus (house mouse). The record is from RNAcentral. Lineage: Eukaryota; Metazoa; Chordata; Mammalia; Rodentia; Muridae.